This 244-nucleotide unclassified non-coding RNA is filed under the name Melitaea cinxia (Glanville fritillary). RNAcentral describes it as "misc RNA ENSMCXG00005014439.1". The record is from RNAcentral. Lineage: Eukaryota; Metazoa; Arthropoda; Insecta; Lepidoptera; Nymphalidae.
CUGGCGUAUUGGCGUGUUGGGGUUUUGGCAUGUUGGGGUGUUGGCGUGUUGGCGUAUUGGCACAUUGGCGUGUUGGCGUGUUGGCGUAUUGGCACAUUAGCGUGUUGGCGAGUCGGCGCACUGGCGUAUUGGCGUGUUGGGGUUUUGGCAUGUUGGGGUGUUGGCGUGUUGGCGUAUUGGCACAUUGGCGUGUUGGCGUGUUGGCGCAUUGGCGUAUUGGCAUGUUGGCGUGUUGGCGUAUUGG